This 76-nucleotide transfer RNA is filed under the name Marinactinospora thermotolerans DSM 45154. Its description in RNAcentral is "tRNA_Arg_TCT". It matches the Rfam family "tRNA". Rfam says of the family: Transfer RNA (tRNA) molecules are approximately 80 nucleotides in length. Their secondary structure includes four short double-helical elements and three loops (D, anti-codon, and T loops). Further hydrogen bonds mediate the characteristic L-shaped molecular structure. tRNAs have two regions of fundamental functional importance: the anti-codon, which is responsible for specific mRNA codon recognition, and the 3' end, to which the tRNAs corresponding amino acid is attached (by aminoacyl-tRNA synthetases). tRNAs cope with the degeneracy of the genetic code in two manners: having more than one tRNA (with a specific anti-codon) for a particular amino acid; and 'wobble' base-pairing, i.e. permitting non-standard base-pairing at the 3rd anti-codon position. The record is from RNAcentral. Lineage: Bacteria; Bacillati; Actinomycetota; Actinomycetes; Streptosporangiales; Nocardiopsidaceae.
GCACCCGUAGCUCAGUGGAUAGAGCACCGGACUUCUAAUCCGAUGGUCGCAGGUUCGAAUCCUGCCGGGUGCGCCC